GGGGAUAUAGCUCAGUUGGUAGAGUGCUUGCCUAGCAUGUAAAAGGUCCUUGGUUCAAUUUCCAUCUCCA
This 70-nucleotide transfer RNA is filed under the name Ictidomys tridecemlineatus (thirteen-lined ground squirrel). Its description in RNAcentral is "Spermophilus tridecemlineatus (thirteen-lined ground squirrel) tRNA". It matches the Rfam family "tRNA". Rfam says of the family: Transfer RNA (tRNA) molecules are approximately 80 nucleotides in length. Their secondary structure includes four short double-helical elements and three loops (D, anti-codon, and T loops). Further hydrogen bonds mediate the characteristic L-shaped molecular structure. tRNAs have two regions of fundamental functional importance: the anti-codon, which is responsible for specific mRNA codon recognition, and the 3' end, to which the tRNAs corresponding amino acid is attached (by aminoacyl-tRNA synthetases). tRNAs cope with the degeneracy of the genetic code in two manners: having more than one tRNA (with a specific anti-codon) for a particular amino acid; and 'wobble' base-pairing, i.e. permitting non-standard base-pairing at the 3rd anti-codon position. RNAcentral also lists the same sequence under 1 other name. Lineage: Eukaryota; Metazoa; Chordata; Mammalia; Rodentia; Sciuridae. The record is from Rfam by way of RNAcentral.